This is a small nuclear RNA of Sorex fumeus (smoky shrew), 107 nucleotides long. The record is from RefSeq and is a predicted model, not a curated record. Lineage: Eukaryota; Metazoa; Chordata; Mammalia; Eulipotyphla; Soricidae.
GUGCUCACUUUGACAGCACAUUUACUAAAAUUGGAAUGAUACAGAAAAGAUUAACAUGUUCCUUAUGCAAGGGUGACAUGAAAUUUUGUGAAAUAUUUGAUAACUUG